GCUAGGCUUGUAAGUGGAGGCCACUCUUUCUCUCCUUUAAGGACACCGAGGAGUAUGAAACCUUCUACUCAGCAGUUCUAUUCGAAUAUAACGAGCAAUUCACUUGUUUUUUUUUUCGCCACAGAAAUUUUUAUCACAGCGCUUUACAUUCAAACAGAGCCGAUUGAGGUUUUCAUGUAGGUAAGCUGUAGACGACGUCCCGACAUUCAAAUAAUGAUAUUCCAUUGUGUGACUUGUGGAAGUACAGCGUCUAGGGGCAAAACGGGGUCACAGCCAAACAGUGGAUAAAACGGAGAGAGUCACUAUUCCCUCAGCCGACAGUCCAGGCUCAGUCAUUCAAGUGUGAAUGACAUUAUACAUGAAACAUGUACUGCCAUUUACGACGAGCUGGGAAGCAACAUUAUGACAAGAUCCCGCACGGAGGAGGAAUGGAAAUAUGGGAUGGAAGGCUUCGAUCACAAGCAAACGACAUCCCUAAAGAGAGACGUACAAAACAGAAGGGCAGGCCUGCAAGAACUUGUGAAGGUUGUCAAGGGCUCGCCGUGUCGUCGAAAACGCUUUUGGAAUAUUGACGAACCGCUUCCGGUGUAUCCAAACAGUCAUCAAUGCAUCCCCAGACAUGGUGACUCCCAUCGUCGAUGCGGCAUGUGUGCUGCACAAUUUUCUAGGCAACGAUGUUAUCAGUGCGCUAGACUUAGAAAUCGAACCAAACUCUGCUGGGUCACUCCUGUCUGGCCAAUAUGCGUCGCUUGGUAGAAUUGUUGCUGUUGGCGCCGCAGUGCGUGAUAAGCUGUGUUCGAUCUUUAAUGACAUGGGCGCGGUGCCAUGGCAGCGGCAGAUCGCCCACUUGGAUGUGAGCAUUUACAGAAAACCUUGGAACUGAAUACAACAGUCAACACUGAAGUGGAAUGAACAUUUUAUUUUUCCUGUUUUUAAUAAACUUCUAUGUGUCUUUCCAUCA
Molecule: long non-coding RNA, 961 nt
Organism: Dermacentor andersoni
Lineage: Eukaryota; Metazoa; Arthropoda; Arachnida; Ixodida; Ixodidae
Source: RefSeq, a predicted model, not a curated record